GCCCACUAACCCAUUAACCCAACAUGAUAACCCGAAAACCAUAAAAAUGAUACAACCCAUAACCCAUUCCCAAUUUCUGCCAUUAAAUUGAAAUUAUUGUAUCAAUUUGAGAUUAUCAUUUUUCAACCACCUCCCGUCGCCCGUCUGCACCCCACUCUGGUGCCGCCUCAGUCUCAACCAAUCAACCUCAUCCUCCUCCUCCCUCUGAUGACAAACUUCUAUCUUGCUCAGUUGCUCCGUAACCGUAAGGUGUCCCGGUCCUGCCGGUCUUUAACCUUCAUUGAAGGGUUGCAACGUUUUGGCUCUGGUGAUUCUUCCGGCGGCAAUGGACAGCCCUCACAGUAGAAGAAGAAGGUCUGAUUCGUCUGAAGGCAAUUAGCAACUCUUCAAUUGCUCGAACUGGAAGCGGCAUUGCCGUUUGCCAUUGCCUUUGCAUUGUGAGUUGCUUGCUUACUCUCUGUCACUGGAGUUUUGAAAUACCAUAUAUUGCCUUGUGAAUGAGAUUGUGAAUCUGUAAAUCGAUGAAUGUGUUGUCUUGUUGCCCUGUGAAUUACUUAUAAUAGUGGUAUUGCUAUGGCUUAUGUGAAUGGAAUUGUCCUGUGAAUUACUUUUGUUUUGCCUUUUCUUAUAGAAUUGCUCCCAGUCCCAAUAGAAUUUAUUUUUUUAUCAUCAUUAAAUCCAUGACCAAAACCUUGACGUUCGGCGUCGAAAAAGUUUUGUCCGCACUGAAUUAAAAUCCUGGCUCCGCCUCUGGUGUGUUGCACGUUAAUUGAUUACUAUUAAAAGCAAAUGUACAUGAAAUGAUAGGAUUACGUGGAUAAAAUAUUGAAUCACAAAUGAUAGAUUGUUGUGUAACUUUCAAAAUUUGCUUCCAUUUAUAAUUCAUUGAUAUUAAAAUGAGUGGUUUUAAAUAUAUCUUGAAGGGCAAAAGAAACAUAUAUUUCUAUAUGCUGGUACUACUUGUCUUGACAUAACACACAUUUUGAAUGCAUGAAAAUUUAAAGCCCCAUUCUAGAAGAGAAGCUGAAGCAAAAUUAUCAUGUUAAUCGAGAAUUUAUGUUAAGGAAGUCUACAAAACCAAGUUAUCAUGUUGACUUUUGAAGGAUUACAUGUCGAAUGUGAUCUCUAGAUUCAAUAAGAAACCCCAAAUGCAAUUCACGAAUUAAGCAUCAUCUUAUAAUAGUGAUUUUCACUUUGAACACAAAACCCCUCCCCAAAUUGAACUAAUAAACUAAAUGUUGUCUCGUAAUUGUCUUUAAAGGUUCACCUUAAACAAGUGAUCUCAAACACAAAAUUAAUAAAAAGUUUAAAAUCAAUAAGAAAGUUAAUUUUGCCUCAUUGGAACCCAUAAUUUAUUAAUUUUACAGCACAAAGACCAAUCAAAUCAUAUAAAAAUUAUAAACUUUCCUUUUCUAGAUCUUGAUUGAUUCAAGCAUAUAAGCUGACACUGAGUGAAAAAAAAAAAACGAUACAUGUUGAUUUUUUCACAUUGCUGUGAAUUUAAUCAAAAAUCAGUUAAUCAUAAACACAAAUUUAAAGUAAAUUAAAAAUAUAUGUAAUUUAAUUCAAUAUUUAAAUGCAAAUGUUAAAAAUACCUUGGAUUUUUGCGCAAAAAUGGAGAUGUAAGGGCUUGAAUUUUCCCAAUAUUGGCAAAGUAGCUCGUAGAGGUCAUUGUAAAAGUUGCACACCUUUUCAGUGUCUUAUUAGUCAAACUCCAUAUUUCUCCAAAUUGGCCAAUGCAAUGUCUCUAAUAUUUUUUGUAUUUCCCAACGAUUGAACUGAAUAAGGAGGAUUGUACUUCUUUAGUGAUUCAGAAGAAGGGGAAACUCCUUCCCUGUAUCCAACUAAAGCAUGCCACGUAUAAACAUAUCUGCAUCACCUAGUACCUUUUAGCAUUUACACAUUUUAUGAAACGGAAGAUUAAGAUCAUUUUUAGUACUCUUGGCAGCUUACUUCAAACUAUAGUUCUCUUUCCGAGUUCAUGAGAAAGCGGGUGUCAUUAAUGAGAUCACCAAUCCCAAUUGGAAUUAGUUCUCUUUGAUUGUGUGGAUAAACUCUUUGAGAUUAGAAGAUGAACUGUCUGCCUUGGAGCCCCUAAACUUGCAAUUUUCAUUGAUAUCGCUUAAUAUAGUUUCAGAUCUAUGCAAAAAUUAGUGAUAGCACAUUAUUAGAACCAUGAUUUUUAAGGAUUACAAAAGCUUUCAAGAUCUUGCAAAGAGGACAUACGGAGUUCCUUCAACAAGAGCUUUGCCAACAUAGCCCGUGCCAAUUUGAAAAUUGCAAUUGGAGCAUUUUUUGACUCUUAUUUUGGAGGUGAGCUGCAUGAGCAUUUACUAUUUGGAAAUCAAUAUCGGUAUUUGAUUAAAAAGAGAGAUCGUUAUCCUUGGGUGGAUCAUAGCUUUGAGGAUUAGCUGCAGUUUUUACUGUUAUCAACUGUUGAAUUUCGAUAUUUGGGUCCUCAGAAAGAUCGUUGUUUGUGGUAGUUCAACCAUUCAACAGGAUCGAGUUUUUCUUUCACCUCGAUAGAGUUGAUGUGGACAUCGGCCAAAAUUAAUUUACUUCUUGUUUUAUGUAUUGAUGUCUUUUUAUUUCAUUGGGCUUGUCUAGUGGGUAUAGCCCAAGCCCAUGAAUAUUAGGUUUCUUUUGUUGUUUAUAUGUCAGUAACUAGAAUUGCAAGACAUUGUUGAUAAGUAUGAUGAAUUAAGAUUGGUUUGUAGCCUCUUCUUCCUCUCCCUUCCACUUUUCCCUUGAAUUUCUGCUUCUUAUCAUGUUUCUCCCCCCAUUCUCUCU
Molecule: long non-coding RNA, 2790 nt
Organism: Olea europaea var. sylvestris
Lineage: Eukaryota; Viridiplantae; Streptophyta; Magnoliopsida; Lamiales; Oleaceae
Exons: 4
Source: RefSeq, a predicted model, not a curated record